AAGUCUGCUCCCAGGAUAUUUGCAGGCUAAUGUGGCAGCCUCGGGAAUCCUACAUGCUUAUACAAGUCAUCUGUCUUGCGGAAGCCCAUUCAAACCCAGCUGGAAACUCCUGGCCUUUGGAGAUUCGACCUCCACAACUAUUCCUAUCACAGACGAACAGAAGGAGAACCCAGUUUGCACGAAAUUUUCAAACGAUGCAAACCCAUGAGCCUGGUCACUCGUUACUCAGUUUUCCCAGGAGAAGGAAGGAGCAUUUGCCGUGAAAAUGAUGCCUCACACACGAGCACACUGAAUUCAGGUGAAGACUCUAGAGCACGAGCUGGAGCCCUUUUAAAAAUCAAAUAUUGCGUCUUCAUGAACAAAGCUCUAGCAGUAAAGCUAAGAGAAGACAACGCAGCGACCACGUGAUACAUUAGCAGAAUGCUUUACAAAGUCCCCCACAAAGAUCCGCUGCUCUUGAAAAGCCUAACCAACCCAAGUGAGAAACUAUUCACAAAUUUAGUAUUCAGAUUACAUGCUCUGCCUUUUCAACUGCUCUCUGUACAAUGAAUGCCUGUACAACUACAGUAACAGACACAGAUCUACAGUUUCUGUGGCCUUUGAGCUAUUAUGAGUAUUGUGCCUCUCCAUAAAUUACAUGUGCAUGUCCUGAAAAUACCAACUGUUUUAACAGGAAUUAAUCUGUAGGCUUUUAUCUUAGUGAAAUACAAGGGGUACAGUAUGUUGCAUCUCUUUUAAAAUUAAUAGGGUAUAGCCUGAAGAUAUUCAAGGAGGUUCAUUAUUUUCUUUAUAGGUCUCUUUAUCGAUGCAUAUAAACAUGAAACAGUGCCUUACUGUAGGAAAGAGAAGGGGAUAGCAUAAUGAAUAGAUUCGGGCUUACAUGGUUUUAGACUGUCCAACGCACAGUUAAGCAAAGAAAGGUCUGCAUUUGUCCUCUUCAAAGCGUAUUGGGAUUUGAUCCAGUUUGUGUUCAAAGUACCCCUUCUGUAGGCAGAAGAGAGAGGAUUCAGUCUAAAGGGAAGAAAGCUGAUCCAGUCGUCUGUUGCUCCGUGGUGUUCGUAGCUGUCCGAGGCAACAGUAUGUUACAUACGUGCUUUUUAAUUUGCCAAAUCUAAAUAAAUCUGGAACUUUGUUGCUGCGCUGAACUAUU
Molecule: long non-coding RNA, 1150 nt
Filed under: Struthio camelus australis
Lineage: Eukaryota; Metazoa; Chordata; Aves; Struthioniformes; Struthionidae
Description: lncRNA (ENSSCUG00000013353.1)
Source: RNAcentral